This 253-nucleotide ribosomal RNA is filed under the name uncultured bacterium. RNAcentral describes it as "partial 16S ribosomal RNA". It matches the Rfam family "Bacterial small subunit ribosomal RNA", at positions 524 to 776 of the family's 1533-position model. The record is from RNAcentral.
UACGAAGGGUGCAAACGUUGCUCGGAAUUAUUGGGCGUAAAGCGCACGUAGGCGGCUUGGCAAGUCGGAUGUGAAAUCCCUCGGCUCAACCAAGGAAGUGCAUCCGAAACUGCCGAGCUUGAGUACUUAAGAGGAUCGCGGAAUUCCUGGUGUAGCGGUGAAAUGCGCAGAUAUCAGGAGGAACACCGGUGGCGAAGGCGGGUCUCUGGGCCGAUACUGACGCUGAGGAGCGAAAGCGUGGGGAGCGAACAGG